RNAcentral lists this small RNA (482 nucleotides) under Arabidopsis thaliana (thale cress). RNAcentral's name for it is "ATSL137810". Lineage: Eukaryota; Viridiplantae; Streptophyta; Magnoliopsida; Brassicales; Brassicaceae. The record is from RNAcentral.
UAAUUAGAAAGUAAAUCUUCGAAUUAAAUAUUUGACAUUUAACUAUCUUCCCAAAAUCUCUUCACAUUAACUACACAAUUAGUUACUAAAAUAAAACUUCCAAAAUAUUUAAUAUCAUCUAAACACUACAAAAUUAUCAUUUUUGAUAUUGCUUUUUUCAUGACUAUAACAAUUCGAUUAUAAGCAUCAAACCGUAGAAAUAUUUGAUAGCAGUUAAUUACUACAAAAUUACAAAAUAUUUAUACAAUGAUUUAUAAACAUAUCAUAAAUAAAAUCAACAUUAAUAAAAUAAAUAGGUUUUUUUACGGGACGGGUUUGACAGGAUGUUACUUAAUAACAAUUGUAAACUUUAAAAUAAAAAUAUUUUAUAUAUAGAUACAAUUUGCAAACUUUUUUAUAUAUUAAAAAAUUAAUUGUCCCGCGGUGUACCGCAGGUUAAAAUCUAGUGGUUCUGAAUUUUGAUGAAAAAAAUAAAAUUAAAA